UCUCAAACGGUAACCCUCUAAAAGGAAGCACUUUCUUUUCUUUCAGACCACAGAAAGCGCUUCCCUCUAGAGGGUCACAGCCUGAGA
This 87-nucleotide microRNA precursor is filed under the name Macaca fascicularis (crab-eating macaque). RNAcentral's name for it is "mir-515 microRNA precursor family". It matches the Rfam family "mir-515 microRNA precursor family". Lineage: Eukaryota; Metazoa; Chordata; Mammalia; Primates; Cercopithecidae. RNAcentral also lists the same sequence under 3 other names. The record is from Rfam by way of RNAcentral.